This 508-nucleotide ribosomal RNA is filed under the name uncultured bacterium. RNAcentral's name for it is "partial 16S ribosomal RNA". It matches the Rfam family "Bacterial small subunit ribosomal RNA", at positions 30 to 523 of the family's 1533-position model. The record is from RNAcentral.
AUUGAACGCUGGCGGCAUGCCUUACACAUGCAAGUCGAACGGCAGCGGGGGAGAAGCUUGCUUUUCCUGCCGGCGAGUGGCGAACGGGUGAGUAAUACAUCGGAACGUGCCCUGUAGUGGGGGAUAACUAGUCGAAAGAUUAGCUAAUACCGCAUACGACCUGAGGGUGAAAGUGGGGGACCGCGAGGCCUCAUGCUAUAGGCGCGACCGAUUUCUGAUUAGCUAGUUGGUGGGGUAAAGGCCUACCAAGGCGACGAUCAGUAGCUGGUCUGAGAGGACGAUCAGCCAAACUGGGACUGAGAAACGGCCCAGACUCCUACGGGAGGCAGAAGUGGGGAAUUUUGGAGAAUGGGCGAAAGCCUGAUCCAGCAAUGCCGCGUGUGUGAAGAAGGCCUUCGGGUUGUAAAGCACUUUUGUCCGGAAAGAAAUGGCUCUGGUUAAUACCUGGGGUCGAUGACGGUACCGGAAGAAUAAGGACCGGCUAACUACGUGCCAGCAGCCGCAGUAA